RNAcentral lists this long non-coding RNA (1746 nucleotides) under Mytilus galloprovincialis (Mediterranean mussel). Lineage: Eukaryota; Metazoa; Mollusca; Bivalvia; Mytilida; Mytilidae. The record is from RNAcentral.
AACUUUUUUUAAGGGUAAAUGUGAGAUGUUAGUUUACAUGAAUGAACGUGACUUUUUAGAAUAAGUGCAAUCGUCUUAUUAUGUACCAUUUUCUUUAUUCAAUCAAAUUGUAUAAACAUUAUAUGAAUUUUAUUUUGCUUUCUGUAAUGAUAUAUAAAAGCAUUUAGGUUUACAUCUCAGGGAUUUAGAUUUGUUUAAAAAUUUGGUACAUCUCUGGUAGUAUCCAUCAAAAGUACUAUCAAAGCUUGGUUUGGUAAAUUCGUCUACAUGUACCCAGUAACAAUAACUUGUCAAAAUUGAAACCUUGAUUUGCUUGAAAACAAAGAAAUAUGUGAAAAAUAUAAAACAAAAUAGGUUCUGAUGAAAACAGCGGUGAGGCAGAGGACUUUAACCUUUUAUAAUUCUACAUAACCUUUACUAUUAAUCAUUGAAUCAAUCACAGUUCAUAUUGUAAGUGCAAUAUUUUCGUAAAUCAUAUUUGGAAUUGUUAUUUUAGAUACAUUUCCUACAUGGAAAUUAAGCUUGCAAAGUUUAUUCAUCCUUUAUAGUUAUAAACACUGUAAACUGCUUUUUAUCAUUUGUAUUAUAAGUUCUAUCAUACAAGGAAGAAGUACCAAAAGCACAAUACACUUUAAGGGAUAACUAAUAACUGACCUAAAACUUUUUAAAAUUGGGUCCAAUGAUAUCUUUAUGACAAAAAUAUAGUCCCCUUAUGUUAUGACUUCUAUCAAAUACAUAUCAAUUUACAUGUUCAUCUUCAUAUAUUGUAACAAAACUGUGUGAUGAAUAUAUUGUUUUUCAUUCAAAUCUCUUUUCUACUUGUUCUCAAAAUCAGAAACAUUGUUAAUUGUAUGUUUUAAGUGUUCUUUGAUUUUAUUGAGGUUUAUUUUAUUAUUUAAAACAAGUUAUAUGAUUAGGGCAAUACAUUUGAUUAUAGAAAAAGUGAUACUCAGCGUUUAAAGAUGUGAUUACCAUUUACUUAAAAUGGAAUUGUAAUUUUUGAAUAAAACAUGACUUUAUAUCAUAUUUUUUUUUCAAAUAUGGUAGAAUGAUAACUAGCUGAUAAUUAUACCCCCGCUUUGAAAAAAAGGGGGAUAUACUGUUUUACUUCUGUCUGUCCUUCCGUCAGUCCGUCAGUCCGUCAGUCCGUCCGUCCCAUGAAUAUUUUUCGUCACAUUUUUCUCAGGAACUACACUACAAGGAUUUCUGAAAUUUGGUUUCAGGCUUGAUAUACGUCAGCUAUACUGUGUGAUGCGUUUUUAGAUUCAUCACUCGCCAACUUCCUGUUUACCGAACACUAGCUUGUAUGAUUUUACACAUGAUAGCCAAGUUGAAAAUUUUCGUCACAUUUUUCCCAGGAACUACAAUACAAGGAUUUCUGAAAUUUGGUUUCAGGGUUUUUAUAAGUCAGUUAUACCGUGUGAUGCGUUUUGAGAUUCUUCACUUGACAACUUCCUGUUUACCGAACACUUGUAUGAUUUUACCCAAGAUAGCCAAGUUGAAAAUUUUCGUCACAAUUUUCUCAGGAACUACAAUACAAGGAUUUCUGAAAUUUGGUUUCAGGGUUUAUAUAAGUCAGCUAUACCGUGUGAUGCGUUUUCAGAGUCAUCACUCGAUAACUUCCUGUUUACCGAACACUUGCAUAUUUUUACACUAUUAAUAUUAUCCACUUGCGGCGGGGUAUCAUCAGUGAGCAGUAGCUCGCAGUUUCACUUGUUUUGAUUAAAUGUCAGCAGUUUAUCAAGC